Marmota monax (woodchuck) is the source of this 8948-nucleotide RNA transcript. It is a transcript of the gene named zygote arrest 1 like, with no coding region annotated. Lineage: Eukaryota; Metazoa; Chordata; Mammalia; Rodentia; Sciuridae. The transcript has 6 exons. The record is from RefSeq and is a predicted model, not a curated record.
UCUGAAAACAUUUUUUACGUGGUCUGUGAGUUUUGCAAGUUUUUGUUAAAACACGGUGGCAAGCCUAACUUAAAACCAAAAAUCUGUCCACUAUUGCUUUUGGGAAGGAGUCAAGAGAUUCAACUCUGUGCAAUAUGAAGUCAGGUUUCAUUUUGGGAGAUUGUGCUGGUGGCACGGUGGAAAAUGGAAUGGGAAAAGUAUGAGCAACAACAGCAAGAAGAAUCCUAGGGUAAUCCUUAAGAGACGAGCCCUUAAAUGAAUGUAGUAGCAUUGACAUAGAUAUAAGUGACGUUAAGGAGUUUUUGGAACCAAAAUAUGGCUAUUUUCACUGUAAAGACUGUAAGACCAGAUGGGAGAGUGCUUAUGUGUGGUGCAUUUCUGGAACUAAUAAGGUUUAUUUCAAACAACUCUGUUGCAAGUGCCAAAAGAGUUUUAACCCUUAUCGAGUAGAAGCAAUCCACUGUCAGGGAAAUAAUCAGUGGAGAAACCAUCAUUUAUUCUCAGGACAUGGAGCUCUCCUGCUGGAAUAGAUAUCUAGGUGGUCAUGACCCAGCUCCACGUCUAGGAAAUCGAAGUCCCUAAAGACUCUAAACUGCUGCUCGCUGUUUGUGUCGUCCAUGUUCUCCUGUUCCCUGGCGCCGUCCUCGGAAGAUACCAGGCUUGUCUGAUGCUCCAGCAGAUCCAAGUCCCCACACGAGGAAAAAAUCACCUACGAGUCAAAAGAGCCCUCUCCUGAGAAACUGGUCUGCCUUCAGUUGUUUGUGCUAUGAAAAACAGUAAUUGGCUCUUCAUAGCACUGUAUUUCCAGUACACACCUAAUUCCUUAAGUGGGUAUUUUUAGAAUGUUCUUUUAUUAUUUAUGUUGGACAGGUGCCUUUGGAUUAAACUCCUCGCAAAGAUGCAAGUUCAUGCACCAGGAAAACGGUGAGGAGUAGAAUUGCUGCCUGUUAAUGGAUAAAGACGGGACACUAACUGUGUGUGUGAGAGAGACUGAAAACUGAGCAUGUGUUCACAAACUGGAACACUAAGACUGUUUCCCAGUGUUUCUGACCUAAUUAAAAUGAGAUAUUGUACACAGUCACAAGCACGUAUAUGUCAAAUACACAUAGAUGAUAGCUUAUUACAGAAUGAACCAUAGGAACAAAGAUUUUAGCCCUUUUAGAGAUAAACCAGGAACUGGUAAGGAAUAAGAAAUAGAAGCCAAAAGAAUAGUACUUCUCAUUGGAAUUGCAGAAAAGAUGAAUACCAUGCCCAUAAUUUGUACUUAAAUUUCUGUCCUUUUGAGUUAAACAAAUCUGUAAUAUGUUAAUGUUUUAAAAUUCUACAUUUAGGUUUCUUUUUUACUGAGCCAUUGUAAUAGCACUUUGUAGAAACAAUGAACUUUGAAUAAACCUAAAGGUUUUGCUAGUCAGUAUCUACUGAGCAUAGGCUGAAAUUAAGUAAAAUUAACAGUGAUUUUAUGUAACCAUUAUGUUUCAGUCUUUGAAAAAUGGGGAAGUCUAUGGAAAAAAUGUCAGUUGUAUUUAAAUUCUUAGAGUAAAAAAGAGCGAAGGGACUUUAAAUAUAGUUUUUUUCCUCUAGUGUUUAAGUUGUAAGAUAUAUACUAUACUGUUGAAUACCCCAAAUCUGAAAAUCCAGAAUCUGAAACUUUUUGAGUGUUGACAUGAUCAAAAUAUUCAUUUUUUUGGGGGGGGGGGUACUGGGGAUUGAACUCAGGGGCACUCAACCACAUCUCUAGCCCUAUUUUGUAUUUUAUUUAGAGACAGGGUCUCACUGAGUUGCUUGGUGCCUCGUUGAAGCUGAUGCUGGCUUUGAACUUGCAAUCCUCUGCUUCAGGCUCACAAGCUGCUGAGAUUACAGAACUGCUAUGGAUUACAGAAGAGGGACGACCUUGCUCAUCUGAAAUCACCAUAGCCAAAGGCCAAGAGAACCUGGAGAUUCAGAGGUCAUUGCUGCCUCCAUGUAAAGAGCCAACCUGAGAAUGAAGUCAACAGAUGGGAAAAUAUGGGGCCAAGACUUUGUAAAGGGAAGGUGGGGACAGUGAGAAGAAGAAUCUAAAGCUCUUGUUCCUGACCUUUGUCAGGAUCCAGCUGUUUGAAGCCAAGUUAGGUGGUACUAUAGUUUAGAUCUUGAAUGUCCCCAUGUGUUAAAGGUUUGGGCAUUAGCCUAUAGUGCUCUUGGGAGGUGGUGGGAACCUCUUAAAGAGUAGAAAUCGGUUAGGUUACUGGGGGCAUGCCCAUGAAGGGGCUUUUGAGGGUCUUAGCCCUUUCCUUUCUUCCUUUGCUUACUGGCUGCCAUGAGGUGAUUGGGCACCUCCUCUGCCACAUACACCUGCCAUGAGGUACUGUGCCAUCACAGGUCCAAGGGAAUAGAGCCACGUGACCAGACUGAAACUCUGAAAUCAUGAGCCAAAAUAAAGCUUUCUUCUUUAUAAGUUGAUUCUCUCAGGAUUUGGUAGGAGUGCACAAAAGUGACUAACACAGAUGGUUUAAUUCCUUUUCUACUUCAGGAAAAUUUUCAGUGGAUUUCUGCUACAGCACUAAAAGACUUUUGAAUAAUGCAGUGUUUUACCUGACUAAGCCCAAUGACAUCAGUACUUUGACACAGUCAUCUGUAAACUGAAUACAGUCCUAGGCUAUAUAAUCAAACUACAGAGAAGUCUAGCAGCCCCCUCCACUCAGCCUAUGCAUGGAGAUCAUGAUUAAAGUCGAUGCUCCUAAGAGGAGCCAGAAUGGUCUUUUAGUGUACAGCCCUAUUGACUCUUUGGGUGUCUAAAACCCAUGGAAUUGACUGUUUGAAGGGCUGCUGCAAUGUGAAAGAUUUUUGUUUUCUAAGCCUUAAGAAAACUAGAAUCAAUGAGUAGAAGUAACAGAGUCCAACUUCAACUCCACAUAAUGAGCUGUUCAAAGAUAAAAUGGGUGUCCUCAGAAUGCUGUGAGACUCAUCACUGGAAGUGUUGCUGUCUGGAUGAAAAAAUGUUGUGAGUGGGCAUGGAGGAAUCCAAUAUCACAUGGGCAGCUGGACUCGGUAGGUCCUCUAAACUGCCUUCUAACAAUGCAUGUCUAGGAUUGUAUACCUGAGAAUACUGAGGCCUUUUCCAGCUGACUGGAACAAGAACAUUGGAAUUGGAGCCUGAUGAGGUGGAUGAUGUGCUCCGGGUAACUGCCAUGGCCCUAGGCUUCCCAUCACGCCCAGAAGAAUUCUGUAGUUCAUCAUACCGCCUCCCAAUGAUUGGUGUCUGGAGAAAAAAACCACAAAACACUCAUUCUUCCAUCUCAUUAAUAAUUCUGUGGUAUAUAAAAUGGGACUGUUCUACCCAGCAGCAACUGAAAAAUGCUCAAGUGAUUCAAAGUAGGUCCUAGAAGUUUAGUGUUACAUAUAAGCUCAUUUCCCUAAUGUUCAAAUAUACAUUCUGAAUCAUUUUUUAUCUUCAAUAUUUUCCCAUCCUCUUUAGCAGUAGAAAACAAAUUCAAGAACUUGUUCUUUAAUAUGCUUUAGAAACCACUGAAAAGAUUAGAUGCAAAACAUGGAGGAAAGCUAACAGUUUUCAGACGUUUAACUAUAAGGAAGAACUUCUGCCAGUUAUAAUGAAAGGCCAAAAUUCCUUCCCCUCUCUCCAACCGCUAAUCAUCAAUCUUUAAAUACUCUUCAUUUUUUUUUAAGGUUUUUUUUUUUUUUUUGGUACUAGAAUUGAACUCGGGGGCACUCAACCUCUGAGCCACAUCCCCAGCCCUAUUUUGCAUUUUCUUCACAGACAGGGUCUCAGUUGCUUAGCACCUCACCAUUGCUGAGGCUGGCUUUGAACUCAUGAUCCUCCUGCCUCAGCCUCUUGAGCUCCUGGGAUUACAAGCAUGUGCCACUGUGCCUGGUACUCUUCAUUUUUAAAAGGUUACAUUAUGUGUAUCUUUUCAAUUUUAUUUAAAUGGAUGAGGUCAGAACCAGGUACUUGGGCAACACUUUAGAACUUCUACUUCCUGAAAGCCUUGGGGUGUGGUAGACAGUGCCUCCCAAACUUGAGUCCCAGGAAGGUCUCUGCUGCAGACACCAGCUCACAGGCCUGUCCUCAGAGGUGGCAGGAACUGACUGGUAAUUUUACACCUGGCUCCUAAGGCUCAUCAUUCUGGAGUAUUUCUGGGUCUCUGUGUGUUGAGGGAUGCAGCUAACUGGCUAUUUAUAUAUUAUAUCUCUUGGGAGUAGAAUAAACGCAAGUCUAAGAAUAAAAAUAACUUUCUCCCUAGCAAGUAAAAAUGAUGCAUAGAGAUUGAAUCAAUAUCUUAAUAUUAUUUAUAUACUAAAUAUAGAUGCAGGCGUCACAGUGCAGCAAGGGUAUCUCAUCUCAAAUACUGAAACAAGAAGUCAGUGAAUACUAUUGUGUCAAAGAAGCAACCUGGAUGUAACCUAUUUAAGAGUGCAAGGGGGUUCCACAUAAGCAGAUCCCAUUUUUUUCUCCACUCUUGGGGAAUGCAUUAAUUCAGCAGUGUUUGGAAAUAAUUGUUAACAAUCUCUGUGCACCAGACAUGGUACCACCAGGCUCUGAUUAUAAAUAUCAGCAGAGUAGUUUCUGCUUUGGAGGGGGCAUGCUACAUGGGUCAUGGGAUAAGAGAUACAAAAGUCAAGUUAUGUUAUACUUUAGACUUAAUUAAGUACAGGCACCCAAAGGUAGGCUCAGGAAGCAGCAGGUAAAUCUGACCAUUUUUUGUCCUUUCUUUUUUCCCUCAAUUCUGUAGCAUGGGUUCUUAAUUUCUCUUUCCCUUACCCUGUUCAAGGCAACCAUAAAGGUGGAUUCCAUAUUCCUGUAAUUCCAAACUGCAGUCAUUUAUGGAUCUGGUAUAGAUCGGAGAAAAAGGUUAUGGCUAGAAAGAUAUGACAUGAUACUUGUAAGAUAAAGAAUGAGUGACAUGGCUUACAAUGUUUAAUAUUCCAUUUUAAAGUAGCUUUCUAAAAAAUUGUUUUUCAUAUAACUGAGGUUUCUUUUCUUUUUUUUUUUUUUUUUGGUACCAGGUUUUGAACUCAUGGGUACUUGGCCACUGAGCCACAUCCUUAGCCCUAUUUUGUAUUUUAUUUAGAGACAGAGUCUCACUGAGUUGCUUAGUGCCUCACUGUUGCUGAGGCUGGCUUUGAACUCACAAUCCUCCUAUCUUAGCUUCCCGAGCUGCUGGGAUUAUAGGCGUGCAUCACCACACCCAGCUAGGUUAGAUUCUGUUUCUUAAAGCUGCCAAUUGUGAGCCCCAGAGAAUAUGAAAUUCAGUUUUCUUUUCUUUCUUUUUUAUGGUGCUUUGCAUCAAACACAGGGGCUUAUACAUGCUCAUCCUCAGCCCUUCAGUGUGUUCUUAAUAGAAUGGAACCAAAUUUAGACCUUUGCAGUCUUUGUUUAUAAUAAAUAUAAGUCUUCCCUUCUUCAGGAAAUUACUUGUAACUUUUGCCAUCAUAAGUUCAUGCUGAAGUUCACAGAAACAGCUAACAAAGUUAAGUACCUCUGAAAUGUCAAAGUGAAAGUCCAGGGUUUUUCCAGGUAGUUCCUUGGAAGCACUAGUCCACACACGAUGUAUUUCUAUCUUUGAGAGGUCACUGUGCUGGUAGGAAGGCAACACCAGGCUGGCCGAUCGAGACACGACCAACUUUAAGAUAUUCAAAGCCUCUCUCCAGUGAAUGCUCUGUAAGAAAUAAAACACUCAAGGUUAAAAACAACUUCAUUUUGGAAAGCUAACUGCUGCUGAAAUUGACUGACUUAAAACAUGUAGGGAAUUCGGUGAUAAGUAAAAGGCGAAUGAUAUAAGUAGACCAUUUAUAUCUAAAAUGAGCUACAUUUAGGAAAUAAGCAAAUAAAAAAGACUCAUUUUGUCUGUAUUCAAAUGAAUAAAGUUAAAAAAAUCACAAGUACAAUUUUUGCCAAGGAGCUACCUCCUUAAUUUGAUUAAAAAAAAAAAAAGCUCCCAAUGCUAAAAUGUUAUGCUGUUGACUAUUCACUCUUUCUCAAAGUUCUCCCCCCUCCAGGUUCUAGGUUUCAGUCUUCCUUGAUCCUUUGACUUCUUUGGGUCUUCUUGUUCCAUUUUAUUCCUGGGCCUCUUGAUCUCUUUUCUCACUUCAUAUCUUUCUUGUUACCUAACACAGGAUUCUGGAAGCUCUUCUUAACUCCUCCUACCUUUCCCUUUGAUAUUUCUUUCCCUGUUUAAACUCAGUGGAAUUCUCUCUGGCCCUGCCCAGAUUAUUUCAAUGGCCCCUUAGCUAGCCUUAGAAUCAGCUACCCUGAUCUUUCUAGAACUCUUCAGAGUAGGCUCUCAGAGAGUCUCUAUCUCCAUGCUUCAAUGGCUCCCUCUAGUGGACAGGGUGGUGUCCACACUCUGAGCAUGACCUGCAGAUCUCAUUCCAUGCAGCUACUACUAGAGUACCUUAGGCCAGGCAAGGUCUCUUUGGCCUCUGUGCCUUUCCUUAUGCUAUCCCCUCAUCCUGGAAUGCUUUUCCUUUCCUUAAUAUAUAUCAACUUCCUGCUCUUCUUUAACAAUUAGUUUGUUUUACCAUCUUUGUUUUCUUGACUUGUGGGAAGAGGUACUUCCCCCACAAAAAUAUUGAACAUAGUUAAAGCAACUUAAUAACAAUUGUAAUUAUUUUUAUAAUAAUAAAUAAAAUACAUCUCCUUCCUUAAAUUCUGCACAAGGGAAAUCAUGGAUUAAAUAUGAAAUUAGCCAUUAUUCAAGAUAAGAAAUUAAGUACCAGAGAUGGCCUGCAAGCCCAGGACAGAGUGAACAUCCUACUAAUACAACAAGAAAACGGGCCACAUGAUUAAUAGAAAGAUGUAGCUGACCCCCUCAUCCCGUGAGUGCUGAAAUUCUUAUUGAAUGAAUGCCUAUCUUGUGGCGCAACUAUCAUUGGCACUUUAAAAGUGAAGAAAAAAAAAUAAACAACUUUUAGCAUUAAAUAAUUCUAGUAAUUGUCAUUGGUGGAGAUGGAAAGGAAUAUCUAAACUUUACACUACCUGUCAGUGAGAUUUGCCAGAGCAAGCCUAGUGUUUGCUCUUGAAUUCUGCAACUCUCCACGCACACUCCUGAGAAGAAAGAGAGGAACAACUAGAUGUGGAGAAGCCUGCGCUCCCUAUGUUCAGUCUGUGGUGUGUGCUUCAGAUAAACUUCUAGGCUCUAGAAACGGUUUCUGUUCUCUUUGCUCCUUUGAGAUCUACUUAUAUUUUUCUUUUAUUUCUAUUAAUCCCCACCUCUUCCCCCACCCAGUUGGGGAGUCUCAGGAUAUGGCUUUAAAGAAACAUUCUGUAGGUGUUUAUUGAUGUUCACCAAGUGUUCUGCUGUGCUGGGUGCCUGGUUCAGUGAAACAAAAGAAAUGACUUUGGAGCCAGAUUCAAAUACCAGCUCCACCCUCUACUAACUGAGAUCUUGGGGCCAGUCUCUGGUUGAUUUUUGUUUUUAUUAAAUCUUUCAAGACUGUUUAUGAUGGAAAUAUUAAAAUAACACAGAAACAGAGACUAGCAUAAUGAACCUCCAGACACUCUUAUUAGUUAUUCACAUUGUCAUUUUACUUAUGAUCUCAACAAACAGUUGGAGUGUUUUAAAGAACAUUUAUGCAAGUAUCUUAACCUUAGUUGGCUUACUCUAAAGUGGGGAUUUUAACUGCUGAGUAACUUUUCACAUGUUGAGGCACCUGGUCUGGAACCUGGUACAUGGCACGCAUACAAGUUCCUUGUCCCUCCUCCUCCUUUGAAAUGAGAUACCAGAAAUAAGAUCUGCCCCUGCCCUCCCAGCCAGGUGUGUGCUUUUAAUAUGCAGCCUACAAGCCCCAGUAGGCAGAACUGUGCCCUCUGAAGGUCAGGAAUGUGCCAAGGCCUCAUUCUGUCUUCUCAGAGUGCCACUCAGGAUGCUGUCAACCACCUGGCUGGACUGCCCUUCCUUUGUCAUGGAUACCAAGGAAUGAAUACAUGAUCUAGUGCCCAUAAGGCUUUGUACCCAAGGACAAAUUAUAGACAAGUCUCAGUCUUUUUGGAUUGACUCUGCUGAUAAGUAAACUUAUGCAGAUACUCACUUGCACGUAUUUUUCAAUAGUCUUAAGAACUUCCACAUUAAACUGCUUGACAGGAACAACAGAAAGGUCCAUGUAGCUGAGCAGACUGUAGAUCACUUGGAGGAGGGGCUGUUGCAUACUGGGGAGACCUUUCUCCAGCAACUGUGGGAGGUAAAGUGCAGGUGAAGUUAGCUCUACACAGGACUUUCCCAUAGAAGCACCCAGGUUUCCCCAGAUCUUUACCAUUGCAUAUUAGGAGGGAAAAUAAAAGAUCCUAACUUCUGAGGAAAUGGAGAUACCAUCAAAGGCACAGGGACAUCAUAAAAUGUACACAUGUAAUAUUAAAAAAAUUAAUCUCAAAAGGAAAGCAUCAAACAACAUUAAUCAUCAACAAUUAUAAAUUGUAUAAAUUAUAUAAAUUAUAAAUUGCAAUAUAAUUUUUCAGUUAUGAAAUUGGCAAAGAUUAGAAACUGGCAAUAUUUAGUAUUGGUAAGGAGAAAAGGAAUUAGGUAUUCUUAUACAUCAGUAGAAAUGUAAAUUGGAUAAUUUGUUAUUUGAGAUCAUGAGCAAUAAAGAGGUCCAUAUUUUUGGAAUAAUAUUUACACUCUUAGGAACAUUUCUUUCCAAAACCAGAGAUAAACACUAUGAAAUCAGAGUGAAUGUAUGAGAUUUCUGUAAUUAAAUGGUUAAAAAAGCAUACACAAAACAAGAAAGCACUACAAGCAAUUUAAAUAUUGAACAUCAGGGAAAUUGAUAUAUAAAUUAAUAGUAAAUUACAUUGUGAACUAUUAUGUAGUUAAUAGAAUAAUGUUUUAAAGACAGCAAAGCAUAUUAGAUGAUAUUAAGUUGAAGACAAAGCAUAUAUAAUUGUCUUACAGAACCAGCCUAGGUGUCCAUAAAUGGAUGAAUGGAUAAAAAAAAAAAAAUACACAGUGGAGUUUUAU